UAAUACAGAGGGUGCAAGCGUUAAUCGGAAUUACUGGGCGUAAAGGGCGCGUAGGUGGUUAAUUAAGUCGGAUGUGAAAUCCCUGGGCUUAACCUAGGAAUUGCAUACGAAACUGAUUGGCUAGAGUAUGAGAGAGGGAAGUGGAAUUUCCGGUGUAGCGGUGAAAUGCGUAGAUAUCGGAAGGAACACCAGUGGCGAAGGCGACUUCCUGGCUCAUUACUGACACUGAGGCGCGAAAGCGUGGGGAGCGAACAGGAUUAGAUACCCUGGUAGUCCACGCCGUAAACGAUGAGAACUAGAUGUUAGGGGGCUUAGACCUUUUAGUAUCGCAGCAAACGCGUUAAGUUCUCCGCCUGGGGAGUACGGCCGCAAGGUUA
This 377-nucleotide ribosomal RNA is filed under the name uncultured bacterium. RNAcentral describes it as "bacterial SSU rRNA". It matches the Rfam family "Bacterial small subunit ribosomal RNA", at positions 521 to 896 of the family's 1533-position model. The record is from RNAcentral.